Long non-coding RNA from Panicum virgatum (switchgrass), 778 nucleotides. RefSeq lists it as uncharacterized. Lineage: Eukaryota; Viridiplantae; Streptophyta; Magnoliopsida; Poales; Poaceae. The transcript has 2 exons. The record is from RefSeq and is a predicted model, not a curated record.
GACACCGACGCAAAGCUUCCCGCCUUUCCCCUCGAGUCCAGCUCCAUUUUACCCCACCCCCCGUCCUCAAUCCUGCCCCCAAUCCUAGCUGUUGACGGCGAAGAUGCUGCGGGCACAGAAGGAUGCGGCAGCAGCGACUUGUGAGCUGCUCAAGGCAGAUGGCACCCGGAUGCAGAAAGCGGCUCAAGCAUCCGCGCGGAAGGGGACCUCGUCGGCAUCGGCAUGGAAGGAGCCAGCGGCGCAGAUUCGGAAGGCCCAUGCGGGAGCUACUGCGGCAGUGGAGCAGAGGGCUCCGUCGUGGAAGGAAGCGGCGGCGCGGGUCCAGGGGCCAUUUGUCGCGAAGCAAAGGAGUUCGCCGGCGGAGCAAAACGGCAUGGGUUGAUUUGGCGGAGCAAGCUCACCAGCCUCCUUCACUGACGGAACCUGCUUCUUCAACGGUGGCAGCAUCUUGUUCGGCGGCGCUUCACAAAACCCCAUGGCUCAAGCAUGGAUGCACUCUCAAGUUUCAGAUCCUGUAUCAUGGAAGUCAAAUCUGCCUGAAGAAGUUGAUGCCCUGGAAGUGAAAUGUGCCCAGGUUGGAGGCUAAAUAUUUCAAGUGACUGAACUAUGUCAUUUAGGUUGUCUGAACUAUGUGUCAUUUAUCUAUGUCUGAACUGAUGCACUAUGCUGGAUAUGUGUCAAAUAGUGACUUUGUUAUUAUAUCAUGCCAUGUAUUCCUAAGAACCUUUUUCAUAUGAAUAUAUAUAUGGCUAUAAAGAUCAAGUAUGCACUAGAUUAC